RNAcentral lists this ribosomal RNA (691 nucleotides) under uncultured bacterium. Its description in RNAcentral is "bacterial SSU rRNA". It matches the Rfam family "Bacterial small subunit ribosomal RNA", at positions 124 to 802 of the family's 1533-position model. The record is from RNAcentral.
ACCUGCCCAAGAGACUGGGAUAACACCUGGAAACAGAUGCUAAUACCGGAUAACAACACUAGACGCAUGUCUAGAGUUUGAAAGAUGGUUCUGCUAUCACUCUUGGAUGGACCUGCGGUGCAUUAGCUAGUUGGUAAGGUAACGGCUUACCAAGGCAAUGAUGCAUAGCCGAGUUGAGAGACUGAUCGGCCACAUUGGGACUGAGACACGGCCCAAACUCCUACGGGAGACAGCAGUAGGGAAUCUUCCACAAUGGACGAAAGUCUGAUGGAGCAACGCCGCGUGAGUGAAGAAGGGUUUCGGCUCGUAAAGCUCUGUUGGUAGUGAAGAAAGAUAGAGGUAGUAACUGGCCUUUAUUUGACGGUAAUUACUUAGAAAGUCACGGCUAACUACGUGCCAGCAGCCGCGGUAAUACGUAGGUGGCAAGCGUUGUCCGGAUUUAUUGGGCGUAAAGCGAGUGCAGGCGGUUCAAUAAGUCUGAUGUGAAAGCCUUCGGCUCAACCGGAGAAUUGCAUCAGAAACUGUUGAACUUGAGUGCAGAAGAGGAGAGUGGAACUCCAUGUGUAGCGGUGGAAUGCGUAGAUAUAUGGAAGAACACCAGUGGCGAAGGCGGCUCUCUGGCCUGCAACUGACGCUGAGGCUCGAAAGCAUGGGUAGCGAACAGGAUUAGAUACCCUGGUAGUCCAUGCCG